This 1385-nucleotide ribosomal RNA is filed under the name bacterium NLAE-zl-G248. Its description in RNAcentral is "bacterial SSU rRNA". It matches the Rfam family "Bacterial small subunit ribosomal RNA". The record is from RNAcentral.
UCGAGGGGCAGCAUUUCAGUUUGCUUGCAAACUGGAGAUGGCGACCGGCGCACGGGUGAGUAACACGUAUCCAACCUGCCGAUAACUCGGGGAUAGCCUUUCGAAAGAAAGAUUAAUACCCGAUGGUAUAAUNANACCGCAUGGUCUUGUUAUUAAAGAAUUUCGGUUAUCGAUGGGGAUGCGUUCCAUUAGGCAGUUGGUGAGGUAACGGCUCACCAAACCUUCGAUGGAUAGGGGUUCUGAGAGGAAGGUCCCCCACAUUGGAACUGAGACACGGUCCAAACNNNNNNGGGAGGCAGCAGUGAGGAAUAUUGGUCAAUGGGCGCAGGCCUGAACCAGCCAAGUAGCGUGAAGGAUGACUGCCCUAUGGGUUGUAAACUUCUUUUAUAUGGGAAUAAAGUUUUCCACGUGUGGAAUUUUGUAUGUACCAUAUGAAUAAGGAUCGGCUAACUCCGUGCCAGCAGCCGCGGUAAUACGGAGGAUCCGAGCGUUAUCCGGAUUUAUUGGGUUUAAAGGGAGCGUAGGUGGACAGUUAAGUCAGUUGUGAAAGUUUGCGGCUCAACCGUAAAAUUGCAGUUGAUACUGGCUGUCUUGAGUACAGUAGAGGUGGGCGGAAUUCGUGGUGUAGCGGUGAAAUGCUUAGAUAUCACGAAGAACUCCGAUUGCGAAGGCAGCUCACUGGACUGCAACUGACACUGAUGCUCGAAAGUGUGGGUAUCAAACAGGAUUAGAUACCCUGGUAGUCCACACAGUAAACGAUGAAUACUCGCUGUUUGCGAUAUACAGUAAGCGGCCAAGCGAAAGCAUUAAGUAUUCCACCUGGGGAGUACGCCGGCAACGGUGAAACUCAAAGGAAUUGACGGGGGCCCGCACAAGCGGAGGAACAUGUGGUUUAAUUCGAUGAUACGCGAGGAANCCUUACCCGGGCUUAAAUUGCAUUUGAAUAUAUUGGAAACAGUAUAGCCGUAAGGCAAAUGUGAAGGUGCUGCAUGGUUGUCGUCAGCUCGUGCCGUGAGGUGUCGGCUUAAGUGCCAUAACGAGCGCAACCCUUAUCUUUAGUUACUAACAGGUCAUGCUGAGGACUCUAGAGAGACUGCCGUCGUAAGAUGUGAGGAAGGUGGGGAUGACGUCAAAUCAGCACGGCCCUUACGUCCGGGGCUACACACGUGUUACAAUGGGGGGUACAGAAGGCAGCUACCUGGUGACAGGAUGCUAAUCCCAAAAGCCUCUCUCAGUUCGGAUCGAAGUCUGCAACCCGACUUCGUGAAGCUGGAUUCGCUAGUAAUCGCGCAUCAGCCAUGGCGCGGUGAAUACGUUCCCGGGCCUUGUACACACCGCCCGUCAAGCCAUGAAAGCCGGGGGUACCUGAAGUACGUAACCGCAAG